Molecule: non-coding RNA, 212 nt
Filed under: Cyclobacterium marinum
Lineage: Bacteria; Pseudomonadati; Bacteroidota; Cytophagia; Cytophagales; Cyclobacteriaceae
Also listed under: 1 other name
Source: RNAcentral
AUGUUUGUGCCGAUUUAUGGUUCCCGAUCCUUAACCAGGCGCUCGGGAUUAAUAGGGAAUUCGGUGAAAGUCCGGAACUGUCCCCGCAACUGUAACCCGGUCUUUAUUUCAAUAAAGAAAACGGAAAUCCAUCCUUUGCCAUUGUCCUUGUUGGAUGAGAAGGCGGAUUUACCUUGGGAAGUCAGGAGACCUGCCAUUAAAAUCUUUUCAUU